RNAcentral lists this microRNA precursor (78 nucleotides) under Trichobilharzia regenti. RNAcentral describes it as "mir-3492 microRNA precursor family". It matches the Rfam family "mir-3492 microRNA precursor family". The record is from Rfam by way of RNAcentral. Lineage: Eukaryota; Metazoa; Platyhelminthes; Trematoda; Strigeidida; Schistosomatidae.
AGCUUCCGUUAUCUGUACUGAGAUUUCGUCAGAAAUCAAUCCAUCGGGGCUGAUGCAACUUGACAAAUACGUGAAGCA